RNAcentral lists this microRNA (21 nucleotides) under Sus scrofa (pig). RNAcentral describes it as "ssc-miR-9808-3p". The record is from miRBase by way of RNAcentral. Lineage: Eukaryota; Metazoa; Chordata; Mammalia; Artiodactyla; Suidae.
CCUUGCAGGGUGUCGGAUACU